GUCUUUUUUGAAUCCAAAUUGCCAUUAUAGAUUUGAGGAAAAAUCAUGGGCUAUUAAGAGGAUUAAACUACGUUGAGGCGGUAGUUCAAAAGACUACCCAUUUAACGUGAUCACCGUCUAAAAUAACAAGUGGGUAAAAUUUAUACCAAUUACAGUCGAGCUUCUUCAAAAUUGUCCGUUUUAUUUUCGCGUAGUCAGUUAGCUAAAAAGAAAACCCAAAUCAACAACCGUGUUUUCAGUCUCCGAAACACAAAAUUAUUCUGACAUCAAUACAUAUCUCAGAGGAAUAAACAAACGAACAAAAACAAACAGAAUGGUUUCGCAAAAGACAGCUAUGAUUCUGGCCGUGGUCGUUUUUGGUGUGCUUCUUUGUUUCUCAAAUGCAGAGGUUAAAAAAUGGAUGGAAUACAAGAAGUCUGCCCCCACCAAGGAAAUGUACGAGAACAUUCUAGAACAAGCACUCGAUGAGAUCCUUGAGGACGUUUGCAAGACGUGCCCACGCGUAUGCGGACAGAUGACCAAAAAGUGGAUGGAAUACCGAAAAUAAACAACAACAACAACAACAUUGAAAACAUCAACAGAUUCAAAAAAAGAACUCGGCAAACCCCAGGAUUUGACUUGGAAACAAACUCGAAGGCAAAAUAUGAUUUCAGUUUUGUUUUCAUUCUGAAAUUCAGAUUGAAAUUUAUGUCUAAAUUCCUUUUUUAUUUAUUUAUGGCAAAAAUUGUUUAGAACGUGAAUUGAUCUGAUGAAUUGCAGGAACUUUGAUUAGUGGAAAAAUGCAAAUAUGCCCCGAAACAAAUUGAAAGUAUUCUAUUGAACCGUA
Symsagittifera roscoffensis is the source of this 826-nucleotide long non-coding RNA. RefSeq lists it as uncharacterized. NCBI's taxonomy places the organism in Eukaryota, Metazoa, Xenacoelomorpha, Acoela, Convolutidae. The transcript has 3 exons. The record is from RefSeq and is a predicted model, not a curated record.